GUGUCAGCCGCCGCGGUAAGACAGAGGGGGCAAGCGUUGCUCGGAAUUACUGGGCGUAAAGGGCGCGUAGGCGGGAUGGCAAGUCGGUUGUGAAAUCCUUCGGCUCAACCGAAGAACGUCGAUCGAUACUGCCAUUCUUGAGGGAUGCAGAGGAGACUGGAAUUCCCGGUGUAGCGGUGAAAUGUGUAGAGAUCGGGAGGAACACCGGUGGCGAAGGCGGGUCUCUGGGCAUCUCCUGACGCUGAGGCGCGAAAGCGUGGGGAGCAAACGGGAUUAGAUACCCCGGUAGUCC
Molecule: ribosomal RNA, 292 nt
Filed under: uncultured bacterium
Lineage: Bacteria
Description: partial 16S ribosomal RNA
Rfam family: Bacterial small subunit ribosomal RNA
Source: RNAcentral